RNAcentral lists this ribosomal RNA (374 nucleotides) under uncultured bacterium. RNAcentral's name for it is "bacterial SSU rRNA". It matches the Rfam family "Bacterial small subunit ribosomal RNA", at positions 523 to 898 of the family's 1533-position model. The record is from RNAcentral.
AUACGUAGGUGGCGAGCGUUGUCCGGAUUUACUGGGUGUAAAGGGUGCGUAGGCGGAUACUUAAGUCAGAUGUGAAAUACCCGGGCUCAACUUGGGUGCUGCAUUUGAAACUGGAUAUCUAGAGUACAGGAGAGGAAAGCGGAAUUCCUAGUGUAGCGGUGAAAUGCGUAGAGAUUAGGAAGAACACCGGUGGCGAAGGCGGCUUUCUGGACUGUAACUGACGCUGAGGCACGAAAGCGUGGGGAGCAAACAGGAUUAGAUACCCUGGUAGUCCACGCCGUAAACUAUGAAUACUAGGUAUGGGGGAGCGAUACCUCCGUGCCGCAGUCAACGCAUUAAGUAUUCCACCUGGGGAGUACGAUCGCAAGAUUAAA